RNAcentral lists this long non-coding RNA (12234 nucleotides) under Citrus x clementina. Its description in RNAcentral is "Citrus clementina (C. clementina) long non-coding RNA (CCLE_LNC004075)". Lineage: Eukaryota; Viridiplantae; Streptophyta; Magnoliopsida; Sapindales; Rutaceae. The record is from RNAcentral.
UUUUAGAUAAAAUAAAAUAAACAAAUUAAAAUUUUUCUUUAUGGAUCGACCUCGGACUCACUGAGAUAUAUUAUAAAUAGACACUCUUAUACUUGAGAGUAAAUCAAAUACUUUUAAGUCAUGUCCAGUUUUUGACGCCGUUGCCAGGGAGAGGUAUUUAUUUUGUUUUAUUUUUCCUUUUAAGUUUUACGUUUUGUAUAAAUUUUCGUUUGCCCCCUUUUGCUUUUCUUAAAGUUUCUUAUACCCCCACAUCUUUCAUAAUUUUAGUUUCACCCCAACAAUUCUCGUUUCUUGCUCAUUCUUCUCAUAAUUAUGUUCUGACCCUAAAAUCUUUCCGAAUUUUUACUUUCAUCCCACAUGGCUCAAUUUUAAACUUAUGAAAAUUACGAUGUGGCCAUAAAAUUAUAAAUAAUUUGUAAUAAGAUCCCUAGACGAAAUUUCUCAUAAUAAUUAGACUUGGACUUAUUUGGACUUAAUUUGGACCAAGCAAACUAACUACUAAUUUUUUAACUAACUAACUACUAACUCUUAGCAAACUAACUACUAAUUUUUUAUUUCAGUUAUUUAAUUUUUAGUUUUUUUAUUUCGCAUUUUUUAUUUCUUUUUAUUGGUGGGUUCAACCACCAAAGUUUAUUUAAUUUUAAGUUAUUAAUUUUCUUUUGUACACUUAUAUUAUUUGCAUAUUUAAUUUUCAUUGUUUUUGUAAUUUUCAUUUAGUUUUUGUGUUACUAAUUUGUUUUUUAUCUUUGUGAUAUAAUUAUUGUAUGAGACGUUGGUCUCGCACUUCAAGUGGCAAGUUAAUUUAUAGAUCUCAAUCACCACCACCAAUCAUGGACGAAAUUCAAGACGAAAACAAUUUGGGCCAACUUAAUCCUCCAAUUGAUCAGGGAGACAACCAAUCUCAACAUGAUCAGAAUCAACCAAGAACUUUAAGAGACUACAUGAAUUCAACAAAAAUCGGAGCACCGUCGUGUAUAGUAUUUCCCGCAGAAGCAUCUCGAUUCAACUUCAAACUAGGUAUUAUCUAACUUUUACCAACAUUUCAUCGUUUAGAAUAUGAAAAUCCAUAUUUGCAUCUAAGAGAUUUCGAGAAAGUUUGUAAUACAUACACAGACCAAAAUUGUAGCAUGAACAUAAUUAGGCUAAAGCUUUUUCCUUUUUCAUUAAAAGAUAAAGUUAAAAUUUAGCUACAAAACCUUAUAUCUGGAUCAAUAAGAACUUGGAAUAACGUGCAAGAACAGUUUUUGAAAAAGUUCUUUCCACCUCAUAGACCAAUUCUUUUAAAAGGCAAAUCACUUCUUUCACUCAAAAAAAUGGAGAAACAUUAUACCAAUGUUGGGAUAAGUUUAAAGAAUUGCUUAACAUAUGUUCACACUAUGGUUUUGAAAUUUGGAGAUUGGUCACUUAUUUCUACGAGGGCUUAAUACUACAAACUAGACAAGUUGUAGAAAGAUGUGUAAUGGUGAAUUUAAAGAUAAAAAUCCUGAAGAUGCACUAGAUUACCUUGACCAAUUAGCUGAAAAUGCACAACAUUGGGAUACUGUUGGAACUUUUGAAUUGACUAAUAAACCACAACCAUCUCCAUCUAGUGGAGGAAUCUACAACCUUAGGGAAUAUCAUGAUUUACAAGCAAAAUUUGCAUCCCUAGUUAGGAAGGUUGAAGUUUUGGAAAAUAAAAAAAGUGAUCAAGUAAAAUCUGUUCAAGAAAUUGCAUGUGAUGUUUGUAGUUCUAAUGAUCAUUUCACUUAAGAUUGUCCCACUCUGCCUGCACUCAAAGAAUGUUUGCAUGAUCAAGCUAAUGUCAUCAACACUUUUAACAAGCCAAAUCCAUAUUCACAAACUUAUAAUCCUGGUUGGAGAAAUCAUCCAAAUUUUAGUUGGAGGAAUAAUAAUAAUGCACAAUCUUCAUAAGCACCACCUCCACAAAAUUUUCAAAAUACUCAGCCUUUUGUACCAUAUGUUCCACCACCAUGGAAAAAUUUGGAAGAUACAAUGCAUUCAUUCAUCAGGAAGCAACAUGCUAUUAACAAUCAAAAUGCACAAACCUUUUCUGAUUUAAAUGAUACUCUUGCAAAAAUUGCUUCUGCACUCACAAUUCAAGAAAAACGAAAAUUCUCAGCUCAAACACAACCAAAUCCUAAGAUUCAAAAUGCACCCAUGGACCAUGUUAAGUCAGUUAUAACUCUUCGUAAUGGUAAGGUUAUUGAUUAGCCUAUUCCUGAACUUUGUGAAAAUGAAAAUUCAAAGGGUAAGGAAGAACUAGAUAAACUUACACCUAGUGAAGAAAUAACUACUAUUCCAUCUGAACCACCAUUUCCGUAUGCAUUGAAUAAACCAAGGAAAUCAAACCACUCUUAUGAAAUUUAUGAAAUUUUUAAGCAAGUGAAAGUUAACAUUCAUUUGUUAGAUGCAAUCAAGCAGGUACCUUCAUAUGCUAAAUUUUUAAAGGACUUAUGCACUGUUAAGAGGAAAUUGAAGGUGAAAAAGAGUGUUUUCAUGCCUGAACAGGUACGUACCAUUCUGUCUACUAAUAAUAAGUUAAAAUAUAAAGAUGCUGGUUGUCCUACUAUUUCUUGUGUUAUUGGAGAUAACAAAAUUAAGCAUACUUUGUUAGACCUUGGUGCUAGUGUUAAUUUGCUUCCACAUUCAGUUUAUCUUCAACUUAAUCUUAGUGAGUUAAAAUCAACUUCAACUACACUUUUACUUGCCGAUAGAUCAGUUAAAAUACCAAAAGGAAUAGUGGAAGAUGUUUUAGUACAAGUUGAUAAAUUUAUAUACCAUGUGGAUUUUAUUGUUUUAGAAAUUGAACCUGUUGUGAAUAAUUAUAAACCAAUUCAUGUAAUUUUGGGUCAACCAUUUUUAGCAACUGCUAAUACUUUGAUUAAUUAUAGGAAUAGUUUAAUGAAUUUUUCAUUUGGAAAUAUGAUUCUGGAAUUAAAUGUUUUCAAUAUGUAUAGGCAAUCUAAUGAGAAAAAUGAGAAUGGAGAUGAAAUUGAUGAAUAAAAAGAAUUACUUGAAUCUUGUAUAGAGGAGAAUAUUUAAAAAGGGAGUUUUUCUGAACUUAGUGAUAUUUUUUUGGUUAAUUCAAUUGAAUCAAAUAAACAACUUGAAUAUGAUACUUCUAAUAUAAAUUUGUUGUUUGAUUUUUGUCAGACUUUGCAAAGUGAUGAUGGGAAACCAAAAUUUGAGGAGCUUGGAAUUAUUAAAAAGACUAAACAACAAGAAGCACCUAAACUAGAAUUGAAACAUUUGCCAGAGGGAUUGAAGUAUGCUUAUCUUGGAGAAGAACAAACUUAUCUUGUUGUGAUUUCUUUGACCUUAUCAAGCGACCAAGAAGGUAAGUUACUAUUUGUUCUUAAAAAGUAUAAAAACGCAAUUGGAUGGAUUUUAAAUGACAUUAAAGGUAUUAAUUUUUUAAUUUACACACAUAGAAUUAAUUUGGAAGAAAAUGCUAAAACAUGUCAAUAACCUCAAAGAAGAUUAAACCCACACAUGAAAGAAGUAGUAAAAACAGAAGUUCUUAAGUUACUUGAUGCGGGAAUUAUCUACCCUAUCUCUGAUAGUAAGUGGGUAAGUCCUACACAAGUAGUGCCUAAAAAAUCUAGAAUCACUGUUGUUAAAAUGAAAAAGCUAAAUUAAUUCCAACACGAAUUACAUCUAGUUAGCGCAUGUGCAUUGAUUAUAGGAAAUUAAAUGAAGCCACUAGAAAAGAUCAUUUUCCAUUACCAUUUCUUGACCAAAUCUUAGAAAGAGUAGCUGGACAUCCCUACUAUUUCUUUUUAGAUGGAUAUUCAGGUUAUUAUCAAAUUCCUAUAACACUUGAAGACCAAGAAAAAACCACAUUUAUAUGCCCCUUUGGAACAUUUGCAUUUAAAAGAAUGCCAUUUGGACUUUGUAAUGCUCCUGCAACAUUUCAAAGAUGUAUGCUAAGUAUUUUCACUAAUAUGAUUGAACAUUGUUUAGAGGUCUUUAUGGAUGAUUUGACAGUAUUUAGGAAUUCUUUUGAUGAUUGCCUUGAUAAAUUGGAAAAGUUUUAAAAAGAUGUGUUAAAAAAGAACUCGUUUUAAAUUGGAAAAAAUGUCAUUACAUGGUUAUUCUGGAAUUGUUUGGGUCAUGUUGUAUCUGUUAAAGGAAUUGAAGUUGACAAAGUAAAAAUUGAAGUCAUAUCUAAAAUGCCACAACCAAAAAUAUUUAGAGAUAUGCGAUCCUUUUUAGGGCAUGCAAGAUUUUAUAGGAGGUUUAUAAAAAAUUUUAGUGUCAUAUCUAAACCACUUUGUAACCUCUUAUUAAAAGAUACACCAUUUGAAUGGACUGAUGAUUGCCAAAAAUCUUUUGAGAAAAUAAUUUACCUUUUGACAUCUGCGCCUAUUAUGCAAUCUCCUGAUUGGUCUUUACCUUUUGAAUUAAUGUGUGAUGCAAGUGACUUUGCUAUUGGUGUUGUUUUAGGACAAAAAAAGGAUCGUGAGUCGUUUGUGAUUCAUUAUGCGAGUAAGACUUUGGAUAGUACUCAAAUGAAUUAUUCUACAACUGAAAAAGAAUUACUUGCUGUGGUGUAUGCAUUAAACAAAUUUCGCUCAUAUUUGCUUGGUUCUAAAAUUGUUGUUUUUACUGAUCACGCUAUUGUGAGAUAUUUGAUGACUAAACAGGAUUUCAAACCAAGACUAAUUCGUUGGAUUUUGUUACUUCAAGAAUUUGACCUCACCAUCAAAGAUAAAAAGGGUGUCGAAAAUGUCGUUACUGAUUAUUUAUCAAGACGCACAUCUGAAAUCUGCACUGACAUAACACCCAUCAAUGAUUCAUUUCCUGAUGAAUUUUUAUUAUUUGUUACUUCAAUACCAUGGUAUGCUAGCAUUGUUAAUUUCCUUGUUACAGGUAAAAUGCCUUCGCAAUGGAAUACUCAAGAGAAGAAGAAAUUUUUGGUUGAAGUAAAGAAAUUUUAUUGGGAUGAUCAUUACUUGUUCAAAUAUUGCCCUGAUCAGAUUUUUCGACGAUGCAUUCCUGAUAAUGAGGUAAGUAGUGUCAUUAAUUUUUGUCAUUCUGAAGCAUGCGGUGGACACUUUUCUUCAAGAAAAACUAUGGCUAAAAUUUUGCAAUGUGAAUUUUAUUGACCUACCAUAUUUAAAGACACCUAUGAAUUUGCAAAACUUGUGAAAACUAUAAAAAAAUUAGGAUCAAUUACUAAAAGAAACAGAUGCCUUUAAAUCCCAUACUUGAAAUUGAAAUAUUUGACUAUUGGGGAAUUGAUUUCAUGGGUCCAUUUCCACCAUCUUUUGGAUUUGUAUACAUAUUAGUGGUAGUUGAUUAUGUCUCAAAAUGAAUUGAAGCAAUGUCUUGUCGAAAUAAUGAUAGUAAAAUUGUCGUUAAAUUUUUAAGAGAAAACAUUCUAAGUCGAUUUGAAAUCCCUCGACCCAUUAUUAGUGAUGGAGGUAGGCAUUUUUGUAAUAAGUUAUUUGAGUCUUUAAUGAAAAAAUAUGGAAUUACAUAUAAAAUUGCUACCCCUUAUCAUCCUCAAACAAAUGAUCAAGGUGAAUUAGCAAAAUAGGGAGAUAAAACAAAUUUUAGAAAAAAUAGUUAACCCAAACUAGAAAGAUUGGUCUCUUCAAUUGACUGAUGUACUUUGGGUAUACUGUACUGCAUUUAAAACUUCUUUAUGAAUGUCACCCUAUCAGCUAGUUUACGGUAAACCUUGUCACUUACCUGUUGAACUUGAACAUAAAUCAUUUUGGGCUGUUAAAGCUUUUAAUUCAAAUUUGGAUGAUGUUGAUAAUGUGCGAAAAUUGCAAUUGAAUGAACUUGAGGAAUUAAGAAAUGAUGCUUAUGAAAAUUCAAAAAUUAUUAAGGCAAAAACAAAAAAAAAUUCAUGAUAAAAAAAUUUUUCGAAAAUCAUUUGAAAUUGGUCAAAAAAUAUUGCUUUAUAAUUCUCGUCUUCAUUUGUUUCCAGGAAAGUUAAAGUCAAAGUGGAGUGACCCAUUUAUUGUAAAAAAUGUAUAUCCACAUGGGGUUGUAGAAAUUGAGAAUCCAAAAAACAGUGUCACAUUUUAAGUUAACGGACAAAGAAUAAAGCCCUAUCUGGAAAACCAAUCACGUGAAUUAAGCACCGAAAUAAAUUUGAGUGGCCCAUAAAAUCCUGAUUAAGUUUUUAAUAAGUGUUUUAACUUUCACUGUUGUUUUACCAUUUAAAUUGUUUGAUUGUCUUGAAUGAUACGCGUUGUGAUGUUUCGUACUUAAGUGUGUUUAAUAAUUGUGUUUUCGUCAUCAUUAUACAUCAUGAGCACAUUAAUAAGGAAGAUUCUGUUCACACAUCUUAAAAGACUUUUAUGAGUGAGAUUUAAUCUAAGAAGAUUGAUACAAAGCUGUAAAUUACAUCCAAUUUGGGAACGACAACCACCAGAAUUAGUGGCCUACGUUGAGGAUCAAGAAGGACAACUCAGAGCAAUAGAGCAUGGUAUAUAUGAAUUUCAAUUAGAGCUUGAGGUUAACUCAAUAAGAGGAUGAAUGUAAAUUCAUUUUCCUUUGUACAUAUUGUGUUUCUAUUUUGUUGUUCGCUUUCACUUUUGAUUUGAUUUUGCAGAUUUGAUUUUAGUGUGUUUUGAUUUAUUUUUCUGUAUAAAUGACGGAUAACGGUACUCCAUGACUUCUUAAGUCGGUAUCUUCAGUUUCCCACAAUAACUGAAUCUCAUAAUCAAGCAUGGAAGAAAUACAACAUAAAUUGCAUAAGUGUUUUCCUUCUCUCCCUCAAAAUGCACCCAAAAAAAUUUGCAAAGUUCAUUGUGAAAGAUUACAUUUGUUAAUGAUCAAUGGGAUUCCUUCUGAUAUUCGUUGGUUAAUUGAAGCAAAGGUCUGAUUAGCUAGUAAGUUUUCUGAUCCAUUUAUUUCUUACAUGUCUGGUUUUGGUAAAAGUACAUUUGCUAAAAAACGGAGAGGUAGAAGACUUGGCUUAGAAUGUCAUAAUUGUGUACGACUUAGUUGCAAACUAGAGCUUAGAAUGUCAUAAUUGUGUACGACUUAGUUGCAAACUAGAAGUUUGUAAAUCUUUAGGAGUGAUUUCUAAUAAUCGAGAAGAUAAAAUUAAAUUUAUUAAAGAUGGCAUGAGUAAAAAAUUGUCGGAUGAUAUCUUACGAUCUCUUGAGAUGUAUCGAAGCGGACAUGUGCAAUAUGAGAUACACAAGUUAUGGAGACUAUUCCAAAAAGAAAGUGCACAACUUAGUCUUGGAAAUCUGACUCAAAAAUACCUUGUUUGCCAGUUUAUAAGAAAACUGGAUGGGAAACCUAUUCUCGACCCAUAGAGGAUGUUCAAACCGUUACUGGACGUAAAAUCAGAAGAAGAUGUGAGCCACAAUCACAACUACCAGUAAAUAUCCUUUUACUUUAUUGUUCUUUUAUCAUUUACAUUAUUGUAUUUAAUGGUGUGAUUUUGUAUUUAGAUUGAAGAAAAUGCAGUGACAAGCUUCUGUUUGUCCUUCCGAUUGUAAUAGUUUCAAGUUCGAAUAUUUCCAUUGCCUACAUCAAAUAAGAAAAUAAGACAAAAUAAUAGGGCAUUUAACAUUCCAAUUGACAACAAAUGAAAAGAGUGAAAAAUAAUAUUACAUGAAGCAACAAGCAGGAGGCUAGCAUCAAGUUCAUUCACAAGGCAGAGUUUGGAUAUUCCUUUAUUAGGAAAGUCGUGAUUAACAAAACUAUUGAGAAGGGUAGCUUCCUCAUAAUUCCAUAUCUUGCGAUUAAACAAAUAUUGAACAACUAAUGCAUUUGAGAGAGAUGAAAUUAUAAGAGACCAGAGGACCCAUCUCACUACAUCUAAUAAACAACAAAAUCAAAAUUUAUUGAACCAUCUCAUAGCAAAAAAACCCCAUGAGUGGCCAAAUUUGUACCCAAUUCUACACUCUACUAUGAAGCUGAAAUUACUUCAACAUAUAUCAGCUCAUAUGUUGGCAAUCAUAGUCAAAGAUGGUUAUCAAGCAUCCUCAGAAAUCGAGAAGCUAAUAAAAACCAGGUUGCACUACAUUAACAUAUAUCAGUUCUUUGAUAUAAAGAUAUUGAAUGUUAUACACUUCUAAUCCCAAGUCAUAAAACAUAAAACAAAAGUUCACUUCACACGCUCAUAAAGAUAAACUGCUAGACAAAUGGAGAAUAAGCAUCGAAUAUGAGUCAAUAAACUAUUAAGCUAAUUAAUGCACAGGAAGGACACUGGCAUAAUAAUAAUAAUAAUAAUAAAAACCCAUUCACAUUCUAAAAAAAAAACCCAUUCAAAUUCUAAUUCAAUAUAUCAACAAACCCAUUCGCAUUCUAAUUAAUAAAAACAACACCAGCCGCGGAGCAACUUCUCCAAUACAUUCAACAAACCUAUUUUCAUUUUAAUCCACAAACAACACCAGCAACAGAGCAGAUCCUUUGACAAACUAAUAAACCCAUAUUCAUUUUUAAAUAACAAAAUAAUGCCCAAUCACCGAUUUCUAAUAUGCAAAGAGUUUUUUCAAAGACUAACCUUGUACGCAAUUGAGUGACAGUCGCCUCUAAUGCCGACAGCAAGCAACACUCACUCGACGCCAUUAUCACCCUUGAUUCAUCACAUGUUCUUUUAUUAUCGGAUUCUACGAGCCAAAGUUGCAAGAUUGCGGUUGAUUUCUUUAUCUUCAAAGCAUUUAGAGAUGGAGUAUGUGCAUGUUUUGGUUAGAUGAAGAACACUUGUUUUUUGUGAUGGGUAGCUUCGAUAAAGGAAAAGAAACACCGUUAAAUCUACUGGAUUUAUUAUGUAGCAAUAAAUGCUUUUGAUAAUAACUUGUAGCUCCAGUUUUUUUUUUAAUUUAAAGUUUUUGGAAUAUAAAUGGGUAAUUGCCAAUUUACCCUCAUCCAUUAACAAUACAUGAAAUAAUAGGGGAGGAAAGUGGAGAUAUUGUGAUAUUUUCAUCAAAGUGGAGAUAAGACAAAUCUCAGGGGGAAAACUGAAAAUCAUCCUAAGUAACAGUAGUAUGUGCGUGUUUUGUCUUGCUAUGACAGUACUAAGGAUUAAGGAAGACAAGUUACUAUUUCUUACCUUUGUUUAAUACCAAUUAUUAUUAUUUGGUGAGACCAAUUAAUUGUUUAUACAUACUUAAAAAUUAAUUUUGUCUAACCUUUUAAUUACAUUUUAUUAUAAGUAAUUAUGUGUAAACUACAUCAGGAAAUAAAUUAAUUACUCAGUCAUAAAAAAUACAACGUUAUUUAAGACAAAACUUUUAGUUACUAUUUUUAGUUUUGUGACUAUAAUGACUACAUUUACGACUAAAAAAACAAAGUCUUAAAAUUAUAAGAAAUCAUAAUAGCUUUAGAGACUAAUAUUAUGUGUCAUUGAUUGUUUGCCUAAAUUUACACCUGUUUUUUAGUUACAAAAUAUUUUUGUCACCCAUAAUUAUAUUUCGUGACCAUUUAUUUUGUCAUGAAGGAUAAAAUAUUGUCUUAAAAUGUUCAAUUUUUUAAUGAGAUUUUUGUGUAAAAAAAUAAAUUUAUUUUUUCCGACUACAAUAAUAUUCGUCACAAGAACGUUGAAUCAGAUACCAAAUAGUGCGUCCGAGAAAAGAAAUAACUUGGUCACAAAAAUACAAUGUUAUUCAAGACAAAACCUUUAGCUACUACUUUUACUUUGGUCACUGUAAUUACUCAUCCAAGACCAAAAAAUGGCGUCUUAAAAUUAUAAGAAGUAAACAUAGCUUUAGAGACUAAUAUAUAUGUCACGGAUAGUUUAGUUAAAUUUGUACUUAACUUUUAGUUAUGAAAUAGUGUCAUCGCCUACACUAAUAUUUUGCAACCAUUUUGUUUUGUCAUAAAUGAUGAAAUAUUGUCCCAAAAUGUUUCGAAUUUGGAGGGAAAUUUUUAUGCCAAAAUAAUAUGUUUUUCAGUGACUAAAAAAAUAUUUGUCACAAAAAAGUUGAAUCGGAUACCAAAUAUUGUGUUCCAAAAUAAAAUUAUUGGUCACAAAAUAUAAAACAAGUCAGGACAAAAUUAUUAGAUACGAUUUCAUAAAUUUGUCACAGAUAAAUAUCAUUUUGUGACCAAAUUUCAAAGCGUUGAAAAAAAUAUCGUCUUAAAAAAUCAAAUUUCUUGUAGUGAGUGGAUAAAUUAGGCUUAUGUUUUAUUAGUGGGAUUAUUAGUGGGACAAAUGUAAGGUUAAGAUCUAAUUAGAUUUUUUUAUUUGUGUGGUGUGAAUUUACCAUGUAUUAGUAUAAAUAGAAGGGGGGGUGAACACACCUCUCNNNNNNNNNNNNNNNNNNNNNNNNNNNNNNNNNNNNNNNNNNNNNNNNNNNNNNNNNNNNNNNNNNNNNNNNNNNNNNNNNNNNNNNNNNNNNNNNNNNNUUUUUUUAUUUUGUGUGGGGUGGGAAUCUCCCAUGUAUUGAUUAUAAAUAAAAAGGGGGGGGUGAAACCCCCCCUCUCCCACCCAAUCUUUCUUUCUUUUUUUCCUUCCCGCCCCCCCCCCCCCCCCGGGCCCCCAAUUCUUCUUCUCAUCUAUCUUUGUAAUUUAUUUUCAAUCAAUAAAAUUAGUUUUAUUUCAAUUUUCAAAUUCCAUUUUUAAUUAUGUGCUUUUCAAUUUUAGUAAUUUCCUUUAUAAAAAAAUGUUUAGCUAAAUAUUAAUAGUUAGGGGAAGGUGAAACUCUUAGGAAAUAAAUAUGAUUUAAUCAAAUUCUAUUUUUAAUUUUAUAAAUUAAAUUAUUUUCUAUUUAAUUUUAUACAUAUUUUAUAUUAUGAAAUUUUGAUUUAUUGUAGACAAACAAGGGAGUUUGGCACAAUAAAUUCUUUUUAUCUUAAUAUAAGGUAUAGUAAAAUGGUAUUUUGACUUAUUGUAGACAAAUUUAAUUUUGGCACAAUGAAUACUUAAUCCAUCAUAAAAUUAAAGGGAAAAUAAUAAUAAUUUAUAUAAUUAAUCUUUUGGACAAUAAAUCUAAAAAAAUGGCGAAAAGAAUUUAUUAAAUUUUAUUUACUACUAAGAGUGAAUCCACAACCCUGACUAAUUCAAUUUCAUAGUUUUAUUUAAAUUAAGUUAUUUAUAUUUAAGUUUUAUUUUCAAAUUUUAGAUAAAAUAAAAUAAACAAAUUAAAUCUUUUCUCUGUGGAUCGACCUCGGACUCACUGAGAUAUAUUAUAAGUAGGCACUCUUAUAUUUGAGAGUAAAUCAAACACUUUUAAGUCGUGUCAUUUACCAAAGAGGAUUCUAUUAAUGAUUACUGCCUAUCUCUGCUUAGAAUUACAAGUAGAUAGCUCACUUACCCAAGAUCCUCACAUGGAUGCGCAACAGCUCAUCUAGAUCAGAUUUAUCACUACUUAAUGUUUUAUGUAGAUGAUUUAUCCUUUACCACUAUCUCUUGAGAAGUCAUAAGCAUAACUAACCUAUCCAAAAUUUGCACUAUGAUGUGAUUAUAUGACCUUUUUUUUUUCCUGUUGUAUAUCAUAUAAGUGUGAUCUUUUUAAUCUAUCUAGCAUGGAUGAUUCAUAUGGAUGGUUUAUCUUUUAUUGCCAUAGGAAUGAGUAGUUUGUCCUAAAAUAAUGAUCUAUUGCCACUAAAUAUUUAUCAUUUAUGAUAUUUUAAGAUGUUUGCUUUAGUUAAAUAUACUGUUAGAGAUUUACAUUAUGAUGACACCUGAAAAACAUAGGUGGAGUACCUAGCCUAUCUUGACCAAGGUGAUCUACUCUAAGUCAGAAAUCAAUAUAAAAACGGUACCUAACUUGGGCUGAGCGAAGCUGACAUACUCAUAUCAAGGACUAAAAGCAAAACACAAAACGAAUAAUGCAUUUUAGUAGAGACUUGAGAGUGCAAAGAUCCAAUAAAGGGAAGGUUGUUAGAGAAGGCCCAACAGAAUAAAAUCGUUAUUGAAUGAUAGUGAAGUAUAAUUACCAAACUUUAAAAUAGUUGGCCAGCUUAGAACAUACAUAAGUUUACCACAAGAGUUGGUUAGAAAAGAACAGACACAAGUUAGUCAAGAGAGUUAGUUAGUUGAGAACACAUAGAGGUUGGCCAUAAGAGUUGAUCAAUUAAAAAGAAUAGAUGAUUAAAAGCCCAUUCGAUUUCACACUUGAUGAGGGGAAAUUAACAUUAAGCUUGAGGGUAGCAUAAAACCAAGCAUUCAUACACGAUUAGGGAUGGCAAACAUAGGGCCUGGGCCGGGCUUUUUCACGCCCAUGUCCAGGCCCUCUGUCAGCUAGGGGUACGGGCUGGGCCGUGUCGGGCGCAUUGCGGGCCUGGGCCGGGCUUGGGCUUUAUUUAUUUUAA